This 253-nucleotide long non-coding RNA is filed under the name Gossypium barbadense (sea-island cotton). RNAcentral describes it as "long non-coding RNA (GBAR_LNC015664)". The record is from RNAcentral. Lineage: Eukaryota; Viridiplantae; Streptophyta; Magnoliopsida; Malvales; Malvaceae.
UUGAAUUUCUGGAUUGUAACUUGUUUUGUGAAUUUUGAUAGUUAUAACAUGUAUUUGAGCUUUAAAUUGAACUAUGCAAUUCAUCGGGUUGGGAUCUUGGACAACAUGGAAUACAUGUAUUUGAGUUAUUAUUGAAUGAUUUAUUGUAUUACUUCGGUAAGGUUUAUUGUUUUUGUACGUCAACUUACUAAGCUUCAAUGAGCUUGUGUUAAUUUCUAUUCUUGAAUAUACUUUGAAGGUUGGACGAUCGGAU